RNAcentral lists this ribosomal RNA (680 nucleotides) under uncultured bacterium. RNAcentral describes it as "bacterial SSU rRNA". It matches the Rfam family "Bacterial small subunit ribosomal RNA", at positions 127 to 800 of the family's 1533-position model. The record is from RNAcentral.
UGCCCUCCGCAGGGGGAUAACCCGGAGAAAUCCGGACUAAUACCGCAUGGUACACUUGUGGGGCAUCCCACGGGUGUUAAAAGGAAGUGAUUCCGGCGGAGGAUGGGCAUGCGGCGCAUUAGCUGGUUGGCGGGGUAACGGCCCACCAAGGCGACGAUGCGUAGGGGUUCUGAGAGGAAGGUCCCCCACACUGGUACUGAGACACGGACCAGACUCCUACGGGAGGCAGCAGUGAGGAAUAUUGGUCAAUGGGCGGGAGCCUGAACCAGCCAAGUCGCGUGAGGGAAGACGGUCCUAUGGAUUGUAAACCUCUUUAGGCGGGGAGCAAUGCCGGGCACGCGUGCCCGGAGGGAGAGUACCCGCAGAAUAAGCAUCGGCUAACUCCGUGCCAGCAGCCGCGGUAAUACGGAGGAUGCGAGCGUUAUCCGGAUUUAUUGGGUUUAAAGGGUGCGUAGGCGGAUUUUUAAGUCAGCGGUAAAAUGUCCGGGCUCAACCCGGGCCGGCCGUUGAAACUGGGGAUCUUGAGUGGGCGAGAAGUAUGCGGAAUGCGUGGUGUAGCGGUGAAAUGCAUAGAUAUCACGCAGAACUCCGAUUGCGAAGGCAGCAUACCGGCGCCCGACUGACGCUGAGGCACGAAAGCGUGGGGAUCGAACAGGAUUAGAUACCCUGGUAGUCCACGC